AGGUUGACCUCGGAUCAGGUAAGGGAUACCCGCUGAACUUAAGCAUAUCAAUAAGCGGAGGAAAAGAAACCAACAGGGAUUGCCUCAGUAACGGCGAGUGAAGCGGCAACAGCUCAAAUUUGAAAUCUGGCUCUUUCAGGGUCCGAGUUGUAAUUUGUAGAAGAUGCUUCGGGUGUGGCUCCGGUCUAAGUUCCUUGGAACAGGACGUCAUAGAGGGUGAGAAUCCCGUAUGUGACUGGCUGCCUCCGCCCAUGUGAAGCUCUUUCGACGAGUCGAGUUGUUUGGGAAUGCAGCUCAAAAUGGGUGGUAAAUUUCAUCUAAAGCUAAAUAUUGGCCAGAGACCGAUAGCGCACAAGUAGAGUGAUCGAAAGAUGAAAAGCACUUUGGAAAGAGAGUUAAACAGUACGUGAAAUUGUUGAAAGGGAAGCGCUUGCAAUCAGACUUGCGCGCGGUCGAUCAUCCGGUGUUCUCACCGGUGCACUCGAUCGUGCUCAGGCCAGCAUCGGUUUCGGUGGUUGGAUAAAGGCCUUGGGAAUGUGGCUCCUUUCGGGGAGUGUUAUAGCCCUCGGUGCAAUGCAGCCUACCGGGACCGAGGACCGCGCUUCGGCUAGGAUGCUGGCGUAAUGGUUGUAAGCGACCCGUCUUGAAACACGGACCAAGGAGUCUAACAUCUAUGCGAGUGUUUGGGUGUCAAACCCAUACGCGUAAUGAAAGUGAACGGAGGUGAGAACCCUUAAGGGUGCAUCAUCGACCGAUCCUGAUGUCUUCGGAUGGAUUUGAGUAAGAGCAUAGCUGUUGGGACCCGAAAGAUGGUGAACUAUGCCCUGAAUAAGGGUGAAACCCAAAGAAACUCUGGUUGGAGGCUCCCAGCGGUUCUGAAC
This 881-nucleotide ribosomal RNA is filed under the name uncultured Ascomycota. RNAcentral's name for it is "eukaryotic LSU rRNA". It matches the Rfam family "Eukaryotic large subunit ribosomal RNA", at positions 1 to 891 of the family's 3401-position model. The record is from RNAcentral. Lineage: Eukaryota; Fungi; Ascomycota.